RNAcentral lists this ribosomal RNA (305 nucleotides) under uncultured bacterium. RNAcentral's name for it is "bacterial SSU rRNA". It matches the Rfam family "Bacterial small subunit ribosomal RNA", at positions 337 to 657 of the family's 1533-position model. The record is from RNAcentral.
UCCUACGGGACGCAGCAGUGGGGAAUAUUGGGCAAUGGGCGCAAGCCUGACUCAGCAACGCCGCGUGAAGGAAGAAGGCUUUCGGGUUGUAAACUUCUUUUAAGAGGGAAGAGAAGAAGACGGUACCUCUUGAAUAAGCCACGGCUAACUACGUGCCAGCAGCCGCGGUAAUACGUAGGUGGCAAGCGUUGUCCGGAUUUACUGGGUGUAAAGGGCGUGCAGCCGGGCUGACAAGUCAGAUGUGAAAACUAUGGGCUCAACCCAUAGCCUGCAUUUGAAACUGUACUUCUUGAGUGCUGGAGAGG